CCCAGAUGAUGCUUACUUGAACCUGAAUUCAUUUGAUAUGGAGGAUAAAUAGAAACUGAUUUAAUGAGACUGAUGG
Small nucleolar RNA from Lytechinus variegatus (green sea urchin), 76 nucleotides. The record is from RefSeq and is a predicted model, not a curated record. Lineage: Eukaryota; Metazoa; Echinodermata; Echinoidea; Temnopleuroida; Toxopneustidae.